This 1693-nucleotide ribosomal RNA is filed under the name Staphylococcus aureus. Its description in RNAcentral is "partial 23S ribosomal RNA". It matches the Rfam family "Bacterial large subunit ribosomal RNA", at positions 12 to 1703 of the family's 2925-position model. Lineage: Bacteria; Bacillati; Bacillota; Bacilli; Caryophanales; Staphylococcaceae. The record is from RNAcentral.
UAAGGGCGCACGGUGGAUGCCUUGGCACUAGAAGCCGAUGAAGGACGUUACUAACGACGAUAUGCUUUGGGGAGCUGUAAGUAAGCUUUGAUCCAGAGAUUUCCGAAUGGGGAAACCCAGCAUGAGUUAUGUCAUGUUAUCGAUAUGUGAAUACAUAGCAUAUCAGAAGGCACACCCGGAGAACUGAAACAUCUUAGUACCCGGAGGAAGAGAAAGAAAAUUCGAUUCCCUUAGUAGCGGCGAGCGAAACGGGAAGAGCCCAAACCAACAAGCUUGCUUGUUGGGGUUGUAGGACACUCUAUACGGAGUUACAAAGGACGACAUUAGACGAAUCAUCUGGAAAGAUGAAUCAAAGAAGGUAAUAAUCCUGUAGUCGAAAAUGUUGUCUCUCUUGAGUGGAUCCUGAGUACGACGGAGCACGUGAAAUUCCGUCGGAAUCUGGGAGGACCAUCUCCUAAGGCUAAAUACUCUCUAGUGACCGAUAGUGAACCAGUACCGUGAGGGAAAGGUGAAAAGCACCCCGGAAGGGGAGUGAAAUAGAACCUGAAACCGUGUGCUUACAAGUAGUCAGAGCCCGUUAAUGGGUGAUGGCGUGCCUUUUGUAGAAUGAACCGGCGAGUUACGAUUUGAUGCAAGGUUAAGCAGUAAAUGUGGAGCCGUAGCGAAAGCGAGUCUGAAUAGGGCGUUUAGUAUUUGGUCGUAGACCCGAAACCAGGUGAUCUACCCUUGGUCAGGUUGAAGUUCAGGUAACACUGAAUGGAGGACCGAACCGACUUACGUUGAAAAGUGAGCGGAUGAACUGAGGGUAGCGGAGAAAUUCCAAUCGAACCUGGAGAUAGCUGGUUCUCUCCGAAAUAGCUUUAGGGCUAGCCUCAAGUGAUGAUUAUUGGAGGUAGAGCACUGUUUGGACGAGGGGCCCCUCUCGGGUUACCGAAUUCAGACAAACUCCGAAUGCCAAUUAAUUUAACUUGGGAGUCAGAACAUGGGUGAUAAGGUCCGUGUUCGAAAGGGAAACAGCCCAGACCACCAGCUAAGGUCCCAAAAUAUAUGUUAAGUGGAAAAGGAUGUGGCGUUGCCCAGACAACUAGGAUGUUGGCUUAGAAGCAGCCAUCAUUUAAAGAGUGCGUAAUAGCUCACUAGUCGAGUGACACUGCGCCGAAAAUGUACCGGGGCUAAACAUAUUACCGAAGCUGUGGAUUGUCCUUUGGACAAUGGUAGGAGAGCGUUCUAAGGGCGUUGAAGCAUGAUCGUAAGGACAUGUGGAGCGCUUAGAAGUGAGAAUGCCGGUGUGAGUAGCGAAAGACGGGUGAGAAUCCCGUCCACCGAUUGACUAAGGUUUCCAGAGGAAGGCUCGUCCGCUCUGGGUUAGUCGGGUCCUAAGCUGAGGCCGACAGGCGUAGGCGAUGGAUAACAGGUUGAUAUUCCUGUACCACCUAUAAUCGUUUUAAUCGAUGGGGGGACGCAGUAGGAUAGGCGAAGCGUGCGAUUGGAUUGCACGUCUAAGCAGUAAGGCUGAGUAUUAGGCAAAUCCGGUACUCGUUAAGGCUGAGCUGUGAUGGGGAGAAGACAUUGUGUCUUCGAGUCGUUGAUUUCACACUGCCGAGAAAAGCCUCUAGAUAGAAAAUAGGUGCCCGUACCGCAAACCGACACAGGUAGUCAAGAUGAGAAUUCUAAGGUGAGCGAGCGAACUCUC